AUUGAACGCUGGCGGAAUGCUUUACACAUGCAAGUCGAACGGCAGCACGGGGGCAACCCUGGUGGCGAGUGGCGAACGGGUGAGUAAUACAUCGGAACGUGCCCGGUCGUGGGGGAUAACGUAUCGAAAGUUACGCUAAUACCGCAUACGAUCUGAGGAUGAAAGCGGGGGACCUUCGGGCCUCGCGCGAUCGGAGCGGCCGAUGUCAGAUUAGGUAGUUGGUGGGGUAAAGGCCUACCAAGCCGACGAUCUGUAGCUGGUCUGAGAGGACGACCAGCCACACUGGGACUGAGACACGGCCCAGACUCCUACGGGAGGCAGCAGUGGGGAAUUUUGGACAAUGGGCGCAAGCCUGAUCCAGCCAUUCCGCGUGCAGGACGAAGGCCUUCGGGUUGUAAACUGCUUUUGUAUGGAACGAAAAGGCUCUGGCUAAUACCUGGGGCUCAUGACGGUACCGUAAGAAUAAGCACCGGCUAACUACGUG
RNAcentral lists this ribosomal RNA (484 nucleotides) under uncultured bacterium. RNAcentral describes it as "partial 16S ribosomal RNA". It matches the Rfam family "Bacterial small subunit ribosomal RNA", at positions 30 to 507 of the family's 1533-position model. The record is from RNAcentral.